AAAAGUCAUACUCUUAAGAAAAAAAGUCGACUAGGAGUCAACUAAGAACCGAUCUAUUUAACAUUGCACAUCAUACAUGUAACGCUAACAACAUUAUUUAUUAUUAGUCUAAAGACACAACAUUCGCAUGUGUUAUUUUCUCGUCGACUCUAUAUGACGUGGAAAGUCAAUGCCGACUCUAGCACUGUGGAUGCCCUGACGGACUAAAUGAUCAAGGUAAUGUCAUUAUUCAUAUUUUCCUUGUUUAACUUCUCAUAAUGUCGUGACUCAUAUGGUGGCUAACAUCGCUAGAUUGGAGCAGCGUGCGACUGUGUGGAUGGGUUCAGGCCCACCGUCUGUGGUGGAGCAGGUUCUCCAAUAUUGUAACACUUGAGUUUUAAUACACCCAUUUUUACCCCAAAAAAAAAACUUCUCAUAAUGUCGCCGAAGUACUUAAGUUUUCGAGAUGAGCGCAACAACAGCUCGUUAAAAUUGGAUGUUUGGGACACGGAAGUUGACCAUCGGAAAAGCUAAAAAAAAAUGCACAAUGAUAUGACUCAGCACACCCCGAGUGCCGACGGUCGGACAAAACAGAAGGCUACUACUAGUACCAAGCCCACACGAAGCCGCACGAAAAUUUUAAACUAAAGGAGCCUAUUUUGGCAAAAGCAACCUACUACCAUUAAGAUGUCAUCAAGAAAAAGAAAAAAAGACCUUAAAAGAAGGGGCUUGUUUGGCAAGUAGCCACUGGGUUUUGGGUGCUCAGAGUCUACGGUGGACCAUGAAGAAACAACAGAGAGGCUGGCCCCGUGAAGUCGUGAACACACGUGUACAGCAAGGAGGGUCCCUGGUGGACCUGGUGCAUC
This 845-nucleotide long non-coding RNA is filed under the name Brachypodium distachyon (stiff brome). RNAcentral's name for it is "long non-coding RNA (BDIS_LNC001365)". Lineage: Eukaryota; Viridiplantae; Streptophyta; Magnoliopsida; Poales; Poaceae. The record is from RNAcentral.